UCCAGCUCUUAGCAGCUCAUUCUUUAAAGUCUGGACAUGAAUUCCUGCUUCCUGUCGCAAGGGUUUCAAUUCCAAUUUUUCAUCAAACGCUGGUUAAACUUUGGCAAACUAGGAGCUCCUAAACUUUUGUCAAUCCAAUGGGUGAGAAACCCGAAGUUCAAACUGCAUUUCUGAUGGACAUAGAGGGAGAGAGGGACAGACCUUGGGUGGAGACCUGCUUUUUCAUCAUCUCUAAACAAGGUUUUAAAGGACCAAAAGAUAGCUCCAUCCGUAGGACUGUCCUGCCUCAAGACAGCUGGCCCUGCGAUGCUCCCUGUCAGAGAACAGGUGGCUUCUUUUGACACCGAGAAACUCAACUUCUGGUUAUUUGAUUGAGAUCAAUUUUCACCUGGGAGACAGAGCUUGCCUCAUCCCCAAUGCUGUAUUUGUCGACGGGAAUGAGGUCUACAACCUACAAAGCAAAAACAUCAGCACAGGGACCAAUACCAUGGGCCCUCAGAGAGGUUCCCAAAGUGCCCUCAGUCCUCUACUAGAGGCACAGGUUGCUUACGUUCUCUGCAGACCCCAGACAUCACUCCCAUAAUCCCAACACAACAGUCUGUUAACUGAGGAAAGCAUGCUGCACUGGAAAGACACUCACGCAAACAGCAUGGUAUUUCAUCAGACGGGAGCUAUGCAACUCAGGAUGGCAGGCGGGAACAAAGCAGAGCAUUGACUGGGGAGGAGAAGGCUUGGACCAAGAACCUCAUCAACUGCAUAAGGACUGGGCAGGUCUACAGUCAGAGUAAAGCUGGGGCAGGAGCGCUGGCUGGCAAACUGGGUUUGGUAUGCCCACUAGGAGGCCUCUUAGCCUUUAGUGCUUAGUAUGGAUUUGUGUAUGAAGAGCUCCUGCUCAUUUAUUUCUUCAUAAUUAAAAAAAACUAUCCAUAAUGCACCCACUGUGUGACAGAUAGUAUUCCAG
Myodes glareolus (Bank vole) is the source of this 961-nucleotide non-coding RNA. The record is from RefSeq and is a predicted model, not a curated record. NCBI's taxonomy places the organism in Eukaryota, Metazoa, Chordata, Mammalia, Rodentia, Cricetidae.